This 440-nucleotide ribosomal RNA is filed under the name uncultured bacterium. RNAcentral's name for it is "partial 16S ribosomal RNA". It matches the Rfam family "Bacterial small subunit ribosomal RNA", at positions 339 to 795 of the family's 1533-position model. The record is from RNAcentral.
CUACGGGUUGCACCAGUAAAGAAUCUUUCGCAAUGGGGGAAACCCUGACGAAGCAAUCUCGCGUGAUUGAUGAAGGUCGUAAGAUCGUAAAAAUCUUUUCUGAGGGAAUAAUUCUGAAGGUACCUUAGGAAUAAGCACCGGCUAACUCCGUGCCAGCAGCCGCGGUAAUACGGAGGGUGCAAGCGUUAUCCGGAAUCAUUGGGCGUAAAGCGUCCGCAGGCGGUUUAUUAAGUCAGUUAUUAAAUCAUGUAGCCUAACUAUAUGGCUGUGACUGAAACUGGUAAACUUGAGUCUUUCAGAGGUGCGUAGAAUUCUGUGUGUAGGGGUAAUAGCCGUAGAUACACAGAGGAAUACCAAAAGCGAAGGCAGCGCACUGGGAAAGUACUGACGCUCAUGGACGAAAGCGUAGGUAGCGAACGGGAUUAGAUACCCUUGUAGUC